Long non-coding RNA from Impatiens glandulifera, 2018 nucleotides. RefSeq lists it as uncharacterized. The record is from RefSeq and is a predicted model, not a curated record. The transcript is spliced from 7 exons. Lineage: Eukaryota; Viridiplantae; Streptophyta; Magnoliopsida; Ericales; Balsaminaceae.
CUCAAUUUCUAUUUGGUCGUUCUCCAAUCGCGCCAUCACCAACAUUGCUCCCGUAGCUCACACUAGCAGGUAAAUGAAUCUUAUAGCUUCCUUACCUUGAUUUUGUAUUCCAAUCUAGCUAGUGAAGAUUAGAGAGGGAAGAGGUCAUUUAUGGAAUUCAGGGGUAAUGACUAAGAACUUUCUUCCGCUUCAUGGAGAGGGGAAGAAGAAGAUAAGUUUAAAGACGCAAAAAUGAAGGUCACCAGCUAGCAACUUUGGAAAAUCUCAUCACAUGAUUCCGAUUCCGAUGAUUCGCUUAGAUCCCGAACUCCGUUAUAGUUUCCAGCGUAACUUCUAGGUCUCUCUUUCACUCGCUCUAUCUCUUUCUACAUUAUUAACGAAUAUGUUGCAGUAAUAUGUUGAUUUAGGAUAUUAAUUGCUGUUAGAGGGUAUGAAAUUGACAAAAUAUGUUGAUCCAAAACCCUCCCUUGCUGUCCCUUCUGUCUGAAACCCUUUCCGAAGCCGCUUCCCUCCUACAGCUGUUGUUGCUUCCAGUUUCAGGGAGAGUAGACCAGGGAAAGCAUAUGGAAAACAGAGCUGUUUUCAAUCCAACAUUCCCCCUAAAUCUAUGGUACGGUAAUGAAUUUUGAUUUUAUUAGACUUGAAUAUGUGAGAAAAAGAAAGGAAUAAUAUAGUUUUUAUAUAAAAUGGGAUAAAGGGAGUACAUGUUAUAAAGGGAGUAAUAAUAUAAUUUUGUUUGAUCUAUCACUUUCAGCAGUGUUAUCUUGUCCUCCAUUGUGAUGAUUUCAUAUCAAAAACAUGAAGUCAAGUUUCUCAAAUGAGUUUUGGAGUCUUUUAUUCUGUUUAGCAAUGAGAUUCCGAAAUUGAUUUACAAUCUUUUAUUUUCUUUUGAAGCUAGUUAACUGGAUCAAUCGUUUCGUUAAAUCUGUUUUGUGGAUGUUCGAGUGGGCUGUGGAACUACCCGAUGAGUUACGCGAUGCGAGAGAGUGAUAAUAUUGAAUCUUUAGCGAGUAGAUUUGGGGUUAGUAUGGCUAGUAUUGAAUCUGUUAAUGGAAUUGUUAAUUCUGAUAAUGUUAUUGUUGGAUCUAUUUACUAUAUUCCUUUAAAUUCAGGUACGUAUCAAUAUCAUCAUUCUUUUUGAUUUCUUAAUCUAUUAUUGCUUGAUUGAAACAGAGUUUAAUGUUUUUUACUUUUUUUUGUUCAAAUGUUUGCAGUUCCUGGUGAUCCAUCAUAUCCUGCAGAGAGCGUUGUUCCUCCAGCUCCUACUUCUACUCUAGCACCGCCUGUUCAUGAUGUUGCCUGGUAACAUGGAUUGGAGUAGUUGAAUUCGUCAAAUGAAGGAAGAGGACACGAUAAUCUGUUCAAAAUGCUACAAGAAUGGGAACUAUGGGGGUGAACAGGUCUGCAGAUAAUUUCAAUCUCAUUCAAAACAUUAUUAAAAAAACUAAAUCCAAACGAGUCUCAUUCUCAAGAGAAAACUGAAGCAAAAGUCCAAGACAAUGAGCUUGAGCAUAAGGGUGAACAGAAUGGAGAUACUGAGAUGGAGACACCAACUCUGAAGAGAAGACGAAGUGCUUCACCUUCAGACAAUAGGGGUGCAUUGAUGGAACAGUGGCGAUCAUGUCUUAGGUUCUUCUCCUGAAGACAUCCUUGAGAGAGAAUACCGGGACGAAGGUACAGAGGCUGGUGGAGGUCUUGGUGAGUUAGGUAUUGUUUAUUUAUCUUACUUCCUUUGGCAUAUGGAGUCUUGAAUAUACUGAAGAAGAAAGAUGGUGAAGGUGAUCUCACACUUCUCCGUCGUCAUCUCCGGUUCAAACAAUGUUAAUUCACCUUUGAGUGGAAACAGAGGACAGAGAGCUUCUAGCGGCGGGGAGGAGGAAGUCGUCGUCUUUCCGUUUCAAAAGACACCGAUGAAUUCGUAGCUUACACAGUUCACAUCCCGCCGACACCCGACCGAGGAACGACAUCGGAAUCUCAGAAUAGUCCGUUGGAGAGCAAAAAGAGUGCGGCCGGAGGAC